RNAcentral lists this ribosomal RNA (1505 nucleotides) under uncultured bacterium. RNAcentral describes it as "bacterial SSU rRNA". It matches the Rfam family "Bacterial small subunit ribosomal RNA". The record is from RNAcentral.
GGACGAACGCUGGCGGCGUGCCUAACACAUGCAAGUCGAGCGGGGAUGGUAGCUGAAGGUGAUGAGCUGGAAGCUGCCAUCUUAGCGGCGGACGGGUGAGUAACACGUGAGCAACCUACCCUCAGCACGGGGAUAACAGCUCGAAAGGGCUGCUAAUACCCGAUGGGACCACGUCAUUGCAUGGUGAUGUGGUGAAAGGGUGGACGUAAGGUCCAUACCGGCUGGGGAUGGGCUCGCGGCCCAUCAGCUAGUUGGUGGGGUAACGGCCUACCAAGGCGACGACGGGUAGCCGGCCUGAGAGGGUGACCGGCCACAGUGGGACUGAGACACGGCCCACACUCCUACGGGAGGCAGCAGCGGGGAAUCUUGCGCAGUGGGCGAAAGCCUGACGCAGCGACGCCGCGUGAGGGAAGGAGCCCUUCGGGGUGUAAACCUCUUUGGACGGGGAGAAGUAGGAGAUAGUACCCGUUUAAAAAGCCACGGCUAACUACGUGCCAGCAGCCGCGGUAAUACGUAGGUGGCGAGCGUUGUCCGGAAUUACUGGGCGUAAAGGGUGCGUAGGCGGCCUGGUAAGUUGAGCGUGAAAUUUUUGGGCUCAACCCAAAAGGAGCGUUCAAGACUGCCAGGCUUGAGUGCGGCGAAGGAGGCAACGAGCGGACUGCUCGGGUGUAGGCGGGUUGAAAACGCGUUAGAAUAUAGCGAAGAAACACCAGUGGAGCGAAAUGGCGGUCCGUCUGGCCCGGUAACCUGAACGGUUGGAGGACACGGAAAGGUCGUGGGGAGAGGCAAACCAGGAUUUAGUAUACCGUGGUUAGUCCUAGGCGGUAAACGGAUGGAUGUUAGGGUGUGGGGGGAGAAGCACUUCUUCCGUACGGUAGUUAACACAAUAAGCAUCCCGCGUAGUGAGUACGCCCGCAAGAAUGUCACUCAAAGGAAUGGACGGGGGCACGCACAAGCGAUGGAGCAUGUGAUUUAAUUGGUAGCACCGCGACGAACCCUAGCAGGGCCAGACAUGCCGUGAACCGUUCAGAAAGGAGGGGGCGCGUGACCGAUGAGGUUAGGAACCCGGACACAGCUGGUUCAUGGUCGUCGUCAGCUUGUGUCGUGAGAUGUAGGUUUAAGUCCCGCAACGAGCGCAACCCCUGCCUUUAGUUGCCAGCGGGCAGAGCUGUACACUGUAAGCGGACUGCCACCGAUGAGAAGGAGGAAGGUGGGUAUGAUGUUAAAUCAUCAUGCCCCUUAGGCCACGCGCUACACACGUGGUGCAAUGGGUGGUGCAGAGGGCAGGGAAGGCGCGAGAAGGACCGAAUCCCAAAAAACCACUCCCAGUUUGGAUUGCAGGCUGCAACUAGCCUGCAGGAAGUGGGAAUAAUUAGUAAUCGCGCAUCAGCAUGCCGCGGUGAAUACGUUCCCGGGCACGUACACACCCCCCGUCACACCAUGAGAGUCAGCAACACCUGAAGACCCAGGGCAUCUGUGUUGAAGGUGGGGGUGAUGAGGGGGGU